This 694-nucleotide ribosomal RNA is filed under the name Crossodactylodes izecksohni (Izecksohn's bromeliad frog). Its description in RNAcentral is "partial 12S ribosomal RNA". It matches the Rfam family "Bacterial small subunit ribosomal RNA", at positions 508 to 1521 of the family's 1533-position model. The record is from RNAcentral. Lineage: Eukaryota; Metazoa; Chordata; Amphibia; Anura; Leptodactylidae.
CCAGCCGCCGCGGUUACCCCACGUGACUCAAAUUGACCCUUUUCGGCGUAAAGCGUGAUUAAAGUCAUUCACAAUUAGAGUUAAACCCUAACUAAGCUGUGACACGCUUGUGCGUGGGAAAACCAAAAACGAAAGUUACUCCAAUUUAUUCAACUUGAACUCACGACAGCUGGGAAACAAACUGGGAUUAGAUACCCCACUAUGCCCAGCCGUAAACUUUUAAUUACAACCAUUUCGCCCGGGAACUACGAGCUAAGCUUAAAACCCAAAGGACUUGACGGUACCCCACAUCCACCUAGAGGAGCCUGUCCUAUAAUCGAUAACCCCCGUUUAACCUCACCAUCUUUAGCCUAUCAGCCUGUAUACCUCCGUCGUCAGCUUACCACGUGAGCGAUAUAAGUGAGCUUAAUGCCCAUACGCCAACACGUCAGGUCAAGGUGCAGCAAAUAAGAUGGGAAGAGAUGGGCUACACUUUCUAACUUAGAACAUACGAAAGACUACUUAUGAAACCCCUAGUCAGAAGGCGGAUUUAGAAGUAAAAAGAGAUCAGUAAAACUCUUUUUAACCCGGCACUGGGGUGUGUACACACCGCCCGUCACCCUCUUCAAGGCCUACAAGUAGUUCUUAACUAAACCCAUUGCCACAUAGAAGAGGCAAGUCGUAACAUGGUAAGUAUACCGGAAGGUAUGCUUGG